Molecule: ribosomal RNA, 242 nt
Filed under: uncultured bacterium
Lineage: Bacteria
Description: partial 16S ribosomal RNA
Rfam family: Bacterial small subunit ribosomal RNA
Source: RNAcentral
CCGGACCGGCGCACGGGUGAGUAACGCGUAUGCAACUUACCUAUCAGAGGGGAUAACCCGGCGAAAGUCGGACUAAUACCGCAUGAAGCAGGGCCCGCAUGGGGAUAUUUGCUAAAGAUUCAUCGCUGAUAGAUAGGCAUGCGUUCCAUUAGGCAGUUGGCGGGGUAACGGCCCACCAAACCGACGAUGGAUAGGGGUUCUGAGAGGAAGGUCCCCCACAUUGGUACUGAGACACGGACCAA